AACGAACGCUGGCGGCAUGCCUAACACAUGCAAGUCGAACGAGACCUUCGGGUCUAGUGGCGCACGUGUGCGUAACGCGGGGGAACCUGCCCUUAGGUUCGGAAUAACUCCCCGAAAGGUGUGCUAAUACCGGAUAAUGUCUUCGGACCAAAGAUUUCUCGCCAUUGGAUGGGCCCGCGUUGGCUUAGCUAGUUGGUAGGGUAAAAGCAUACCAAGGCGACGAUCCAUGGCUGGUCUGAGAGGAUGAUCAGCCACACUGGGACUGAGACACGGCCCAGACUCCUACGGGAGGCAGCAGUGGGGAAUAUUGGGCGAUGGGCGAAAGUCUGAUCCAGCAAUGCCGCGUGAGUGAUGAAGGGCUUAGGGUUGUAAAGCUCUUUUACCCGGGAUGAUAAUGACAGUACCGGGAGAAUAAGCACCGGCUAACUCCGUG
RNAcentral lists this ribosomal RNA (433 nucleotides) under uncultured bacterium. RNAcentral describes it as "partial 16S ribosomal RNA". It matches the Rfam family "Bacterial small subunit ribosomal RNA", at positions 29 to 507 of the family's 1533-position model. The record is from RNAcentral.